This 442-nucleotide ribosomal RNA is filed under the name uncultured fungus. RNAcentral's name for it is "eukaryotic LSU rRNA". The stretch from base 144 to 289 matches the Rfam family "5.8S ribosomal RNA". The record is from RNAcentral. Lineage: Eukaryota; Fungi.
UCCGUAGGUGAACCUGCGGAAGGAUCAUUAACAAAGUUAAUAAACUAAUAACUAACUGACUCUGAUAGUGCGGGUAUAUCCCCACUAUUCAAUUGAACUACUAUGUUUAAAACUAUAAAUCAAUUAUGGUUGAUAAAACUUUAAAUUUUCAACGAUGGAUGUCUUGGCUCCCAUAUCGAUGAAGAACGCAGCAAGAAUGCGAUAUGCAAUGUGAAUUGCAGAACCAUGAAUCAUCGGAUCUUUGAACGCGACUGGCGCUGAUCAAAUCAGCAUACUUGUUUCAGUGUGCGCAAACAACUAAACCAUAUAAAUGUGAGAGAAAUUCUCUCAUGAAGUAUAUGCUCCCUGCAGCAGUCACAUUUAUUUGUGAGCUGAAGUGGUGAAACAAUGACUUAUUUGCACCUGAAAUCAAGUAAGAUGACCCGCUGGACUUAAGCAUAUC